ACCAGGAAUCUAACAUUGUCUCUUGGCUCAGCUGGGUUUUCAUCUCAUCAAGCUCCCCAUUGGGUGGUGGAGAUCCAGGAACUAUAAGAUCCCUUUUUCCUACUCAGUAGUGACUUGGAAAGAAAUAUCCAACCACCCACAAGAUUUCACCAGAAGUCCCAGUACUGAAUUUCAUUGGCUCAACUAGGAGCACAUGUUAUAACCAAGCCAAUCUCCUGGCCUGGGGAGUGGACUGCUGUCAUUGGCCGGGUUGGAGAAUGUGGGAGGAGUCAGCACAAAUUUAUCUAAUCUUAUUCUGGGCCAUUAGGAGUUUCCAAACCUUGGUAGGCUGCAUUUCAGGUGUCUGAGAUGGGGAGGCCAUGGAAAAAGAGAAAGGUCAGAAGUUACAUUUGAGAAGUUCAGUUUAGGGCCAAGUGAGUUUGAGAUGCCUCCCAGGCAUCACGUGGUGCCACUGAGUCAUCAACUGGAUAUGAGACAUGCAUUUACCUGAUGUCUUGGUGGCUCAUUUUUUUAAAUUGAUUUUAUGGAAAUGUAAUUUCAUUUCCUUUUGAAGGGUACAAUUGAGAAGUCUAAUUAUUAUGAGGCAUAAUCUCUCUAUUUGGAGUUAAUUGACUACUUUUUUUUUCCCUUUCAUUGUCUUUCUGAGAAGUUCUGCCAGUUUAUCUCAAUUCAACUUUUCAAAAGAUAAAUUCUGCCAGAUAAUCUAUAGAUAGCAUUCUGUUUUCCUUCUGGGUUCUUUUUCCUAGGAAAUUCCUCCAGCCACCCUCCCAGGAUUUUCUUCCUCUCUCUCCUAUGUUGAGAUCCCUGUUUCCCUCCAUCUCAGGUCUUAUGUUUUCUUUGUUUACCCAUCAAUUUUUGCAGAGCCCAUCCUGCAGUAACUUUCUGAGAACAUAGGAGCAUGAGCAAUAACAUUUUUGAGCCCUUCCAUGCUUUGAAAUGCUUUACUUGCUCCUCACACUUGAUCAAUAUUUUGGCUGGAAAUAGUAGUCUGGAUUGAAAAUCCUUUUCUGUCAGAAUUUUGAUUCCAUAAACCCCUUGUCUCUUUGGGGUUUUUCUUUGUUUGCUUGUUUUUAUUUUUUGUUUCUGUUUUUGCGUGUUUAGGGUUGCACCUUAGGCAUUUGGAUGUUCCCAGGCUAGGGGGGUGGAAUAGGAGCUGCAGCUGCCGGCCUGUGACUACAGCCAUAGUGACACAGGAUCCAAGUCCCAUGUGCAACCUACACAAGAAGCUUGUGACAAUACUGAAUCCAUAACCCACUGAGAGAGGCCAGGGAUUGAACCUGCAUCCUCAUGGACACCACUCAGGUUUGUAACCCACUGAGCCACAACAGGAACUCCCUAAAUCUUUUUUUAAUGAGGAUAUAAGACAGUAACUCCGGAUUUGUUUUUUUAAACUUUACUGGGGUGUCAUUGACAUGCAACACAGUGCACAUCCGCCAGAUGUUCCAGUUCCUCUGCAUCUUCACCAGCACUUGAUAAAGUCAGUCUUUUUCAUUUUGGCUGUUCUGGCUGAUUUGCAGUGGUAUCUGAUUGUUAUGCUAGUUUGCAUUUUCAUGAAGGCUAGUUGUGAGAAUCUUUUCAUGUGCUUGUUUGAAAUUCAUUUGUCUUUUGUGAAGAGACUGUACAAUUUUUUUUUUUUUUUUUUUUUGGCUAAUGCAUGCAGUGACUUGGUGGAGGAUCACAGUUCGCAGAUCAGGGAUAGAGCCCAGGCCUCAGUGAUGAAACUCCCAAACUAGACUACUAGGAAACUUGUGAGAUCAUACAAAUCUUUUGCUUGUAUAUUUUUCUUUUCUUUUUAAGAAUGCACCUCUGGCAUAUGGAAGUUCCCAGGCUAGGGGUAGAAUUGGAGCUGCAGCUGAGGCCUUGCCACAGCCUCGGCAACACCAGAACCUUAACUUCACCACUGGGUAAGGCCAGGGAUCUAAACUGCAUCUUCUCUGACAUCAUGUCGGGUUCUUAACCUGUUGAGCCACAACAGGAACACAGUGCCUGUGUUUUUACUAUGUUGCUUUCUAUGCUUUAUUUUUAUUUUUCAAUUUUUUUUUGGUCUUUUCUAGGGUCACACCUGCAGCAUAAGUAGGUUCCCAAGCUAGGGGUCUAAUCGGAGCUGUAGCUGCCGGCCUACGCCAGAGCCACAGCAACGCAGGAUCCAAGCCUCAUUUGCGACCUAUACCUCAGCUCACAGCAACACUGGAUCCUUAACCUGCUAAGCGAGGCCAGGGAUCAAACCUGAAACCUCAUGGUACCUAGUCAGAUUCGUUAACCACUGAGCCAGACAGGAACUCCUCUAUGCUUUAUUAUUAUUAUUAUUUAUUUUUUUUUUUUGUGUGUGUGCCCACUGCAGAAGUUCCCAGACUAGGGAUCAAACCUUCACUACAGCAGUGACAACACUAGGUCAUUUGACUGCUAGGCAACCAGGGAACUCUUCUGAAUUUUAAAUGUAUGAUGACUUUGAAAAUUACCACUGGGAAUAACAAUAGCUCCCUUGUUGUAUGACCUCUAUUUCUUAUUUUUUAGAUCCCUGUAUGUAAGAUGGGUGUAAUGAUUGUAUCUAAUUUAUAGGGUUUUGCUGAGGGUUAAAUGAUUUAGACAGAUAAAGUCAGAAGGGCAAAGCUUGAGGAAUUGAUCUAGCACCUUGGAGAGCCAGCUGUGGAGACUCAGAAAGGGCUGGGAAGGGGAGUCCCUGUCAUGGCCCAGUGGAAAUGAAUCUGACUAGCAUCCAUGAGGACACAGGUUCAAUCCCUGGCCUCACUCAGUGGGUUAAGGAUCCCGUGUUGCUGUGAGUUGUGGUAUAGGUCUAAGAGGCACCUUGGAUCUGGUGUUGCUGUGGCUGUGGUGUAGGCCAGCGGCAAUAGCUCCAGUUCGACCCCUAGCCUGGGAACCUCCAUAUGCUGAGGGUACAGCUCUAAAAAUACAAAAAAAAA
RNAcentral lists this long non-coding RNA (2921 nucleotides) under Sus scrofa (pig). Its description in RNAcentral is "lncRNA (ENSSSCG00040004093.1, ENSSSCG00160047851.1)". Lineage: Eukaryota; Metazoa; Chordata; Mammalia; Artiodactyla; Suidae. The record is from RNAcentral.